GGACCCGGUACCGUCUCGCGAUAUCCGCUUUCCUGAACCCGGUGACACGGACAGAGACCUCGUGCUCCCCUCUGUCGUAGUUCACGUACACGGAUUUCUUCUCCCGGAGUGCGUCGGAGGUCUUCGCUGCAGCUCGAGGACGAUAGGCGCGGGAAGAUUCCGGCGGACUGACGAGGUGAGUAACGGUUGCCAUUGGAGGAGACGCGGGGAAGGGAGGUUCACCGGUGGAUAGAGUGAUCGCAUCAUUUACUCGAGGCUAUAUAUUACAGCCCAGUUCCGAUAUUUUCCGGCCCGUUUAAUAAUAUAUUAAAGUCAAGUUAUGAUUUUUCGGCCCAUUUUGUAGUUAUAUUUUCCGUAUUAUCAGAAGUUAAACACCAUGGAAAGAUGACCAAUAAAAGAUUAAUAAAUAAUAAUAAGAUUUUUAACGUUAAAACUCUUUUUUGUUUUGAGUAAAAACCCAUGAACUAUGUAUUUAACGGAAAACCUCUCAAACUAACUUUAUUUAGUGAAUUAAACCCUAACAUGUCAUAGUUACCAUUACUACCGGUAAAUCUUUAGUUUAUGAGUUUCUACGUUAAGUAAGCGUAAUUGAAUGGUUUUACCAUUAAAAAUCCAAAAAAUCAAAAAAUUCAAAAUUUUAUACUAUUAUCUUAAAAUUAGUAACUUAAAAUUUUAAAAUUAGCACUUUUUUGUUAUAAAUAUAUGAGUUUGAUAUGUUUUUAACAUCAACAUCAUAUAUGUAUAAAUUAAAAUGUAAAAAUCCAGAAAAUAUAAUAAAAAAUUAUCUAAAGAUUUACCUGUAAUAAAAUUACUAAAAGGUUAAAAAUAUAAAAAACAAGAAAAUAUACUAAAAAUUAUAUCUUAUCUAAUAAAAAUGUAAUAAAGAUUUACCUGUAAUAAAAUUACUAAAAGGUUAAAAGUGUAAAAGACAAAAAAAAAAUAAUAGAAAUUAUAUCUUAUCUAAUAAAAAUGUAAUAAUAAAUCUUUAGAUAAUUUUUUGUUAUAUUUUAUGGAUUUUUUCAUUUUUAAUUUAUACAUAUAUAAUAUUGAUGUUAAAAACACAUCAAACUCAUAUAUUUACAAAAAAAAUAAAAGUGUUAAUUUUAAAAUUUAAGUUACUAAUUUUUAGAUAAUAUUAUAAAAUUUUGAUUUGGUAGUUAACCAGUCAUAAGCAUCCCGCAAACACACCAAUUUCUAACCGCAUAACCAGUCGUACAGAUUUCUUAAAACCGCUAGAAACCGCAACUACCCGCAUCCGCAAACAACCGCAACCGCUACGUUUGAACCAGUCCGACCCUUAAUGUAGAAACCCCUAAACUAAAGAUUUACCGAUAGUAAUGGUAAUUAUGACCUGGUAGGGUUUAAUCAUUAAAUAAAGUUAGUUUGAGGUUUUUUCGUUAAAUACUUAGUUUGAGGGGGUUUUUAUCCAAAACAAACUUAGUCAAAGAGUUUUAACGUUAAAAAUUCAUAAUAUUAUAAGCUAACUAGGGGGGAACCAACGUUUUAAGGUUAGGGUUUAUAGAUUUUAGUUUUCAGGGUUUGUGGUUUAACUUUAUUAAGGAGUUAGAGUUUAUUUAAUUUACUAGUCUAGAAUAUUUUGUUUGUUAUGAAAUAUAUAGUACUAGGGUCGGUUCGCGCUACGCGCGGGAUAUGACUUUAUCGUACUUAAAUUCUUAUAAUUCCCUAAGAUUUUAAUGUUUGUGUUUAAGAAAGUGAUGUGUAUAUACUAAGGCCUUGAUUGGUAGAGCAAAAGAUAAAGCAGUAGCAGUAUGCUAUAGAAGCAGUAUGCUGCAAAAACUAUAUGUUUUUGUUAAACUAUUUAAUAGAAUGAUUGGUAGAGUAGUAUGAAUAUGCUAAUUAAAAUUGUUAUAAGAAUUAGUAUUUAUUCUAAAAGCUUUAUAUGAGAGUAUUAGCCAGAGAGCAUUUGGAGAACAUUAGUGUUUGGUAAAUGUUUUUCUAAAUGCUAUUGUUUGUUUGGUUUCUAGAUUUUGGAUUUUGGAUUUUGGUUUUUGCUUUUAAAAUAAUAAAACGAAAAUAUUCUAUGUAAAUGAUUUUUGCUUUUAAAAUAAUAAAACGAAAAUAUUCUUAAAGUGAAAUAUUUAUUCUGGAAAUAAUAAAAUAUAAAAAUUAAAAACAGCAAAAACAAAAUAAUAUAAUUCUAUGUUUAAACAUACACUUAAAAAUUUAAUUCUAUGUUUAAACAUAAAUUUAUAUAUGUUAUAUAUGUACAUCUAUACUUUAUUUUAUCAUUUUUUUUUACUCAUUCAUAAUAUAGUAAUAUUUUUAGUAAAAAAAAAAAGAAGAACUGAAAAUCCAUUGGACAAGUUUUGAAGAAAACCAUUGAAAACCAUGAUUUUCUUUUUUUUGUUUAGGAAUAGAUAUUUGUUUUUAUUUAAAUAGUUUCUCUGUAUUUUUAAUUGGUGAUUUCUGUAGAUAUUACUUUAUGAAUGUACAACUAUUUUAACAAAAAAAAAGUAACAACAGUUUGCAAAGAAAAACCAAGAAAAUAUAGAUUUUAGUUUUGUGUAGAAAGAGUUAGUUUUCUCAAAAUCUGGUUUUCCUGAAUUUUAGGGAAUCUAUUUAGAAAAAUCUUGAUUGAUACAAAAAUAGUUUUUAGAGAAUCAAAAACCAAAAACCAUUUUAAAAAGGGAGAAUUGCCAAGUGUGACUCAAAACUUGGAGUCAAACCCAAAACAAUACCCCAACUUGGGUCAAAGGCAAAAGUAACCUAAAAGGCUAUUGAAAUUACAACUAUCCCCUUGUGACCAAACAAAAAAACGGAAUUCUUUUUACGUUUCUACCCCUCGCAAGUCGUCUGUUUAGACGACUUGAAAAUAAGUCGUCCAGACGACUUAACUUAAAGUCGUCUGGACAGUUAGUCUUAAACAUAAUUUAAAAAUUUUGUAAAAAAUAUUUUGAUAAGUGAAAAAUGGGAAUUAUGUAAUUAACAUAUGUCUUAGGAGGUAUAAAUUAAGAUAUAACAAAUUUCAAUUGUUUUCAGCAUAGAUGAGUGAAAGUAGUGAGUCAUGAUAUUCUUAAGUUUAUGUUUCAUCAACAUAUGUUGUAGUAUUGUAUGUGUUCUUAGGGUUAGAUUUUGGAAAGCAUUAAAACCGUUUUUGAAAAUUUUUAAAAUUACUUAUGCGUGUUCAUUUCUGUGUAUAGUAAACACUAUUUAAGUAUAAUUUGAUUUUAUAACGUGGUUAGUUAGUUAAUCUAGUCAUUUUAGUUUAGGGGUUCAUUUUAGGGUCUAGGACGACUUAAUAUUUUGUCGUCUGAAAACAGACGACUAAAUAUUAAGUCGUCUGUUGUACAUUAUCAGCCAGAAUAAGUCGUCUAAACCGGACCAAACCUUAAAGUUUACCAAUGUAAUUUUAAAGCUAACCGGCCUCGCACAGUAGUUCUUCUGAUUCUUCAUCCAGUUGAAAACAUUCACACAAAGAUCGAUGCAUCCUCUUCUACCGAGCUCCUGCAAGUUUCAAAAAUCAAACUCCUAACUAAAUUAAUUUCAAAACUUCAUCAACCAUUAAAUUCAAAAAAAGAGUUUCAGUUAAAUUCUAGUUUAUCAUAAAGGUUCCAACUUAAAACCAAUUAACUAUAAGUUCACUAAUUUUUUUUUUUUUUUUUUUGAGCAUCGGCUUCAAGAGAACAUACACCGAUAAGAAUUGGAAAAUUCUUUCUAGCGAACCGGCCAACCCAGGAAUUGAGAACGCCAUCGACUUCUUCCCAACGAUUGAGAGCAAUCAGCCGAUCCGCAACCUCCGAGACACUCCAAUCCUUCUGAAACCGGUCGUUCUCAACCCGGACCCGGUACCGUCUCGCGAUAUCCGCUUUCCUGAACCCGGUGACACGGACAGAGACCUCGUGCUCCCCUCUGUCGUAGUUCACGUACACGGAUUUCUUCUCCCGGAGUGCGUCGGAGGUCUUCGCUGCAGCUCGAGGACGAUAGGCGCGGGAAGAUUCCGGCGGACUGACGAGGUGAGUAACGGUUGCCAUUGGAGGAGACGCGGGGAAGGGAGGUUCACCGGUGGAU
RNAcentral lists this long non-coding RNA (4029 nucleotides) under Brassica napus (rape). RNAcentral describes it as "long non-coding RNA (BNAP_LNC014803)". Lineage: Eukaryota; Viridiplantae; Streptophyta; Magnoliopsida; Brassicales; Brassicaceae. The record is from RNAcentral.